CCCUUAGAUGUUCUGGGCUGCACGCGCGCUACACUGACGUACGCAACGAGUGUCCUUUACCGAGAGGUAUGGGUAAUCAUUUGAGUGUACGUCGUGAUGGGGAUAGAAUAUUGUAAUUAUUACUCUUCAACGAGGAAUUCCUAGUAAGCGCAAGUCAGCAGCUUGCGCUGAUUACGUCCCUGCCCUUUGUACACACCGCCCGUCGCUCCUACCGAUGGGUGAUCCGGUGAAUGAUUCGGACUCGGUUGCCUCUAGCCACUAGUGGCGCUCGAGAAAGUUUUGUGAACCUUAUCACUUAGAGGAAGGAGAAGUCGUAACA
Molecule: ribosomal RNA, 319 nt
Filed under: uncultured eukaryote
Lineage: Eukaryota
Description: partial 18S ribosomal RNA
Rfam family: Eukaryotic small subunit ribosomal RNA
Source: RNAcentral